GUUUGAUGUAUCAUUUACUUCACUGAAUAUACAUGACAUUAAAAGAAGCAAAACAAGUAUAACAUUGGCUUAAUGACCUUGUGCAUGUCAUAUCACCAGCGUUAAGAAGGCAGUAUUCAUUUCGAAGCAUCAGUCGCCCGCAAUUGCCGAUAAGGGUUUUCAGUGAACGACUAAAUUCCAGCUUAACAAUUAAUUCUAACCGGCUGAUUUAAAAUGGAUUUUAUUAUUAACAAAUGCAUCUAACAUAUAUUAAAUUAAUAUAAUUCAUUCAUAACAUGAGAAGUAGGUUAUACAAUUCACCUGAGUUAUUCUAAUUUGCCAUUUUCAUUGCAGAAAAGAGGAUAUUGAAUAUGUAUGUUUUAAUAAACAAUACCAAAAACUCGACACUUUUGACGAGUAUGGUAAUUGAUGGAGUGUGGUGUAAAUGACAAUGAGAUGAGACAACAGAAGGUCGAGAUCAAUAUGAAUACAAAAUAAAACCGGGUGUAAAAAGGUUGUAAAAUAUUAUGAGUAAUAUUACAAAAUAUUCGUGAAAAAGUCUUAACAAAACCAACCCUUUUAAGCUAAUUUUUGUUGCAUGUGUUUUCAGUUACAUAGUAACAAUUCUUUAAAUUUACAGAAAAAAACACUUUUUAAAAUAGUGAUAACUGAGCGAAUAUUUCUUUUUGGUUUAUUGUAUUGNNN
RNAcentral lists this long non-coding RNA (684 nucleotides) under Mytilus galloprovincialis (Mediterranean mussel). Lineage: Eukaryota; Metazoa; Mollusca; Bivalvia; Mytilida; Mytilidae. The record is from RNAcentral.